CGGAGGGUGCAAGCGUUAUCCGGAUUCACUGGGUUUAAAGGGUGCGUAGGAGGGUUGGUAAGUCAGUGGUGAAAUCUCCGAGCUUAACUUGGAAACUGCCGUUGAUACUAUCAAUCUUGAAUAUCGUGGAGGUGAGCGGAACAUGUCAUGUAGCGGUGAAAUGCUUAGAUAUGACAUAGAACACCAAUUGCGAAGGCAGCUCGCUACACGAAUAUUGACUCUGAGGCACGAAAGCGUGGGGAUCAAACAGGAUUAGAUACCCUGGUAGUCCACGCCCUAAACGAUGGAUACUCGACAUACGCGAUACACAGUGUGUGUCUGAGCGAAAGCAUUAAGUAUCCCACCUGGGAAGUACGACCGCAAGGUUG
Molecule: ribosomal RNA, 368 nt
Filed under: uncultured organism
Description: bacterial SSU rRNA
Rfam family: Bacterial small subunit ribosomal RNA
Source: RNAcentral